RNAcentral lists this non-coding RNA (28 nucleotides) under Rattus norvegicus (Norway rat). Lineage: Eukaryota; Metazoa; Chordata; Mammalia; Rodentia; Muridae. The record is from RNAcentral.
GCCAGACACUCACCUUGUCUCUUGACCU